GUUCUUGGAGCGUCAGCAGUGAAUUCCCCAGACGAUUAUUAAAAGAAGUCCUUGAAAACAACCACUAAUGACAUUUCUGCAAAAGAUGAAGAUACCAGGUCACCGAUUAAAUCACCCGAAAAGAUGACGAUGUUCAGCUUAUCAUGUUCUCAGUGCAGCUCAGAAUCUGAGGGGGCCAUCAACAGCUGCGAGAAAAUCUGGGCAAAGCACCUCUAGUCAGAGGUUAUUAUCAAGGAAAUCAUAUGUUCUACAAACAUCUUUUCAAGAUUCACAGACCUGGUGAAAUUCUUGUUUGCAAACUUGAAGGAACUGGGAAAAAACACCUGGAGCUUAUUUUGUCUCUCAUUGUUUUACUCUUCCUGAAGACUUUGAUAUGGAAUGACAGCAAUUGAAACCAGCUGCAGAAACUACCCAACCAAGGAAAAGAGGUGUUAGAUGUUCUUCCCUUUGCUGCUAAUGGAAAUGACUAUCUGAGCAGAAAUUAAGUGUUUACAAAUGGAUGAAUGUACAAAAUUGACAAAUUCUGCAUUGCUCUAAGUUAGUACCUAUUUUUUAUAUACAAAUGUGUUGUAUUAAAUAGUAUAUAACAUGCAAGUGAAAAGUGGUUUUCUCACCCACUGAUUGGCUAGUUUGGAAAAGAACAGCACGUACUAUUUAGCACCAAGUGACCAAUGAGACAA
This is a non-coding RNA of Pocillopora verrucosa, 680 nucleotides long. The record is from RefSeq and is a predicted model, not a curated record. NCBI's taxonomy places the organism in Eukaryota, Metazoa, Cnidaria, Anthozoa, Scleractinia, Pocilloporidae.